Molecule: ribosomal RNA, 238 nt
Filed under: uncultured bacterium
Lineage: Bacteria
Description: partial 16S ribosomal RNA
Rfam family: Bacterial small subunit ribosomal RNA
Source: RNAcentral
CGGCGGACGGGUGAGUAACGCGUGGGUAACCUGCCUCAUACAGGGGGGUAACAGUUAGAAAUGACUGCUAAUACCGCAUAAGACCACGGUACCGCAUGGUACAGUGGUAAAAACUCCGGUGGUAUGAGAUGGACCCGCGUCUGAUUAGGUAGUUGGUGGGGUAACGGCCUACCAAGCCGACGAUCAGUAGCCGACCUGAGAGGGUGACCGGCCACAUUGGGACUGAGACACGGCCCAG